RNAcentral lists this long non-coding RNA (3805 nucleotides) under Heterocephalus glaber (naked mole-rat). Its description in RNAcentral is "lncRNA (ENSHGLG00100035166.1)". The record is from RNAcentral. Lineage: Eukaryota; Metazoa; Chordata; Mammalia; Rodentia; Bathyergidae.
CACGGAGCCCCUCUGGGGAGAAGGCGGCCUCCCCGCCUCUCACGGGGCUGGCGCGUCCUCUGCCCCAGCCAGUUGUCCCUGGAGGAGCCACCAGGUCCCCAGCCCCAGUGCCGCCUGCAUCCACUCUGAGACCCGGACAAGGGACUCGGGCUCCUCGCUGCUUUGACAUCAGCCGUGGUCCCGAGUGACCACGUGCUGGACAGAGAACUCAGUCAGUGACGAGCGGCAGCCCAAGCCGGGUCCUGGUGUGCCAGGCGCUGUCCCGCGUGCCCUGCCAUGAGCCACGCAGCCGGUGCCGGGGAACCGCGGGCCCAGUCUGCCCCACUGGCCCUGCACAUGCGGCUCCCGGCUCCUGCUGCCACUCAGAGCUGACGACCACCUCCCCCCUCACCACGCUGCCAUCAAGCCAGAGGCCACGGGCAUCGUGCCUAGAACGAGUGGUGGCUUCCCCGCCUCAGCCACUCCUGUGGCCAUGCAGUCCCCUUGCUAGCUCCCGGGGCUGGAGCAGACUGAACGCUGUUUGCUGAUCAUCUACUAUGUGCUGCGUGUUGAGCAGGAAGAAUCGCUGUCGCAGACUGGUCACGGGCACCCACGCACACGCAGGUCACCCAGGAGCGAGUGCAGAAGCCCUCAGCCUCUGCUCCGGACGGGCCGGCCUGCACCCACAGCCCCUCGAGGCGUCUGGCCUAGAGCAUGGAGCUGAUCCUGAGAACGAGACCCUUUCCUGACACCACCCAGGAGCCAUGGGACUGCAGGGGGCUUUGCCGGCCCAGCCUGCUCCUGCCCCUGGGAGGAAGGGACAGACUCCGGCCGCCUGGCCCUUCACAGGCCCCUGUGCUUCCCGGAUCCCUCUCUGAGGGCCAGACUCACUUCACCUCUACACGCCCUGCUGCCUGGAUCCACGCCUGCCUUUGGGGUGGAAGAAGAGACUCGGACUCCGGAGACCGAGCUGAAGGGACGGUGGGCGUGCGCAGCAUCAUCCAACCUGCUGACUGUGAGGGAACCGAUCGACGUCACAGGAGGGACAGUGCUGAAAGGAGCACUGGCCCGGGCUCAGCUGCCUUCCACCUUUCACAGCUAGUUUGCAAUUUAAGGACCACAAGCCAUUUGCUGCAAGGUUCAGAGGCACAGCAGCCUGGAGAGACGAAGGAAGGUGACUUAGAAAGGCGCACUCGCGUGUUGCCCCAUUUCAGCACGCGCUGCUCUGGACAGGAUGUGUCCGGGACACUUUCUCCCCACGGGCGUGAGCCUGCGCUGGACCCGGGCUGACACGGCCCAUAGGACACCUGGUCCCCGUGGGACACUCCCGAGGAUCGGCCGCAGCUGCCUCUGCGCGGCCCUCGCUUAGGAGCUCGUGGGUCGAGUCCAGCGUAACUGACUAAGACGAAGAAGGGGGCAGCAGCCAUUCCUUAGGGCAAAGGGGCCUCGCAAACUGAAUGGCUGCUCGGGCUCCGAGUUCCAGACCACAGAGCCUGGCUCUGGCAGAGGUAAGAGGAGGACACGCAGCCCAGCCCUGGGAGCCCAGGGACCAAAGGCAAAGGCAGAGGCCAGGGGUCAGUGCACAGUGGCCACCACAGCAGCGGGACUCUGGCCGGGACCUUGCGGUCACCACUGCUGGACCUCCAGAGUGCAUGGGGCCAGGGGCACCUCACAGACCUGGAGGCUGCCUUGCUUCUUCAACCUCUGGCCACAGCGGGGGAGCUUACCGUGGGGUUUCAGCGGCACCCGCCAUCCAGCUGACUGGAGUCUUGGAACGGGGUGGCGUCCUCGCGCGUGGGAGCAUGGCGGUGCCAUCCCCGGGCCUCGGACUUCCCACAGACAGGAGGUGCUCGGUGGGGACAGCCCAUGACAACCGAGCACAGUGCGUUCCCUAAGGCUGCCAUAGCCGAGUACCAUGACCUGGUCACCACACAACAGCACUGACCGCCUCCCAGCUCCAGGUCCAGAUCAGGAGCUCGGGACCCCUGCAAGGUUCUCUGGGCUCUGGGAAGCCUUCCCGCCCUCAGCCUUGGCCAGGUCACAGCCUCCAUUUCCACCAGGCCCCCUCGUCUGCCACUGUGGCUGUCUUCUUCUGAGGGUGCCAGUUGUGAUGGUUGAUUAUGUCAACUUGAAUAAAGGACACCUGCUGUACUGGCUCAGCACAGUUCUGGGUGUGGAAGACUCACCCUAGGGCAGCUUGUCAUGCUAUAAAGGGAAAUGAAGAAGGACGACAAGGCUGUUUCUAGCUUCUUCAGAGGAGCCCAGUCUUCACCCACUCCAUCGCAGAGCCUUCGGCCUCCUGAUCCAGACGCGCUUGGGACACCACAGGAAGCUCCAGGCCUCGGCUGGAUCCUUCGGGUCCCCAGUGGGCAGGCAGAGCCUCUGCGCUCUUCAGCCCCGACUGCGGGCGGCCACUGUAGGCCAACUGUAGUCCUUAUGUAUUUGCAUGUCUCACAUUAGCUGUUUCUCUAGUAAUCACUGAUGGAUACACCAGUCAUGUCCAAGAUGGGACAUGUCACCCUAAAUAACUGAUGACAUCGGCAGUGACCUGAUUUCAAGGUCAUGUCCCAAGGUACAGGCGUCAAGACCUCAGCGUAUUCUUCUUGGCAGACCCAAAGGAAUCCAUGAUAUGCCACCACGAUCUUCCCAUUUGGUGUUUGUUUUGCAUUCUUCUGUUGCAGGACUGGGGAUUGAACGCAGGGCCUCAUGCAUGCUGGACAAGUGUCCUACCCCCAAGCCACAUCCCCAGCCCUUUUUAGUUUUGUUUUUUUCUUUUUUUUUGGAAGCAGGAUUUUGCUAAGUUGCCCAGGCUGGGCUCAAACUUGCCAUUCUCUUGCCUCAUCCUCCCAAGUGCUGGGAUUACAGGCAUGCCACUGUGCCCAGCUAGAGCCGAGGCUUUCCACCUAGGUCAGUGGGUACAACUCACAGGGCCCGUAGACUUGGACAGGAAAGACUUGCGUCUCACUCUCAUUGACCCUAACUGAACUCAGCGUACCGGCAUUCAUUAUGUGGGCAGUUAUGUGGGCAGUGGGCCAGGACUGGCAGCCUCUGAGGCUAGAGGAGGCUCCGAGACACUUCAAAACCCUGCUGGGCACCAGGUGAGAGUGUCCCGACCAGAGGAGCAGGUGCGCAAUGUUCCAGCUGUUCCAGAACAAGGCAGCCUUGAACUGGUGUCUGAGGAAGUGGAAACGCCCAGUGGAAAUGCAGCAACCCAUUUGGCUGUGGCUACCACACAGACUAUGAGAACCAGGUGGUAUGAGGCGGAGAGGCCCGUGGGUGGAACUUAGAAGAUCUCCACGGAUUCCACCACAGUGCAUCCGAUUGCAUUUAUUUUUAUGUGUCCUUCACUGUUUCCCAAAUCUCAGAAUUUGUGUCUUUCAUCAAUAUAAGAACAUUGUCAGAAAAGAUCUUUGCAGAGCUUGUGCAUCCCUCAGGCUCUGUUGUCUCUUUCUGGGGCACAGUUCUAUGUAUGCUCAGCCCUUUGCGACAUCUCCUCACCAUCAUUUCCUUUGUCGUAUUUUCCAUCUGCUCCUUUGCCUCGAGCUCUGAGCGAUUCCUUCAGCUCUGUCUUCCAGGCAGCAGUUAAUCGCCCCUUUUGUUAUUUGCUCUUUCUGUUGUCGUUUCUGAUUGCUCCAGCCUUUUAGUUUCUGGAAGUAAUGCCUUACUUUUCAGCAGAACCAGUUUUGAAAGCAUGGUAACCAUGCUCCUUUCCAUGUUUUGAAUUUCACUCGGUUUCUGUAACAAGUUUAAGCAUCUCCAUUUUAUAACCUCGGACAAUUUCUGUUCUGAUUUCCUUUAGGAUUUCACUCUUCUAUGUGUUAUUUCG